UUAUGGCUCGAGGACGAACGCGUGGCGGCGUGCUUAACACAUGCAAGUCGAGCGAUGAAGCUCCUUCGGGAGUGGAUUAGCGGCGGACGGGUGAGUAACACGUGGGUAACCUGCCUCAUAGAGGGGAAUAGCCUUUCGAAAGGAAGAUUAAUACCGCAUAAGAUUGUAGUACCGCAUGGUACAGCAAUUAAAGGAGUAAUCCGCUAUGAGAUGGACCCGCGUCGCAUUAGCUAGUUGGUGAGGUAAUGGCUCACCAAGGCGACGAUGCGUAGCCGACCUGAGAGGGUGAUCGGCCACAUUGGGACUGAGACACGGCCCAGACUCCUACGGGAGGCAGCAGUGGGGAAUAUUGCACAAUGGGGGAAACCCUGAUGCAAGCAACGCCGCGUGAGUGAUGACGGUCUUCGGAUUGUAAAGCUCUGUCUUUAGGGACGAUAAUGACGGUACCUAAGGAGGAAGCCACGGCUAACUACGUGCCAGCCGCAGC
Molecule: ribosomal RNA, 487 nt
Filed under: uncultured bacterium
Lineage: Bacteria
Description: bacterial SSU rRNA
Rfam family: Bacterial small subunit ribosomal RNA
Source: RNAcentral